This 503-nucleotide ribosomal RNA is filed under the name uncultured bacterium. Its description in RNAcentral is "partial 16S ribosomal RNA". It matches the Rfam family "Bacterial small subunit ribosomal RNA", at positions 30 to 523 of the family's 1533-position model. The record is from RNAcentral.
AUUGAACGCUGGCGGCAGGCUUAACACAUGCAAGUCGAGCGGGGUGAUGGUGCUUGCGCUAUCACUUAGCGGCGGACGGGUGAGUAAUGCUUAGGAAUCUGCCUAUUAGUGGGGGACAACAUCUCGAAAGGGAUGCUAAUACCGCAUACGUCCUACGGGAGAAAGCAGGGGAUCACUUGUGACCUUGCGCUAAUAGAUGAGCCUAAGUCGGAUUAGCUAGUUGGUGGGGUAAAGGCCUACCAAGGCGACGAUCUGUAGCGGGUCUGAGAGGGUGAUCCGCCACACUGGGACUGAGACACGGCCCAGACUCCUACGGGAGGCAGCAGUGGGGAAUAUUGGACAAUGGGGGGAACCCUGAUCCAGCCAUGCCGCGUGUGUGAAGAAGGCCUUAUGGUUGUAAAGCACUUUAAGCGAGGAGGAGGCUCUUUUGGUUAAUACCCAAGAUGAGUGGACGUUACUCGCAGAAUAAGCACCGGCUAACUCUGUGCCAGCCGCCGCGGUAA